CUCGCGGAGCCGCGCCUGGCUCGGCCGCGGCCCCGAGCGCCGUGUCCGCGGCCGCUGCCGCCGUUCCCCGCGUAAAGACUCGCCGCUGCCGGAAACGCGAGUUCCGCCGCCUUCAGAGUUCGCUGCGGAACUGCCGAGCAAAGAUCUUGAUGCAUUUGGCAAGUGAUAUACUGACAUGCACAACACCUGUGUAGAACGAUCUUGUGAUGAAAGGUAAUUUGAUUUGCCGCGUGUUGCACAAGAGUGAUUACAAACAGGGGUAUCAGGGUAAAAGCAGGAGAUAGUCUUG
This 289-nucleotide long non-coding RNA is filed under the name Apteryx owenii (little spotted kiwi). Its description in RNAcentral is "lncRNA (ENSAOWG00000016704.1)". The record is from RNAcentral. Lineage: Eukaryota; Metazoa; Chordata; Aves; Apterygiformes; Apterygidae.